This 180-nucleotide unclassified non-coding RNA is filed under the name fungal sp. RNAcentral's name for it is "partial internal transcribed spacer region". The stretch from base 1 to 46 matches the Rfam family "Eukaryotic small subunit ribosomal RNA", at positions 1786 to 1831 of the family's 1831-position model. Lineage: Eukaryota; Fungi. The record is from RNAcentral.
AAGUCGUAACAAGGUUUCCGUAGGUGAACCUGCGGAAGGAUCAUUUUUGUUGCUUAAUAGACUUGAGGGGUUUACCCUCGAGCGUUGACUGAACCCAUCUCAGUGUUGCUGAGGUUGAACAUGGCAUUGUCUGACUAGUUUUAAUAUAAAAAACUUUCAACAACGGAUCUCUAGGCUCUU